RNAcentral lists this ribosomal RNA (253 nucleotides) under uncultured bacterium. RNAcentral describes it as "partial 16S ribosomal RNA". It matches the Rfam family "Bacterial small subunit ribosomal RNA", at positions 524 to 776 of the family's 1533-position model. The record is from RNAcentral.
GACGGAGGAUGCAAGCGUUAUCCGGAAUGAUUGGGCGUAAAGCGUCCGCAGGUGGCAGUUCAAGUCUGCUGUCAAAGACCGGGGCUUAACUUCGGAAAGGCAGUGGAAACUGAACAGCUAGAGUAUGGUAGGGGCAGAGGGAAUUCCUGGUGUAGCGGUGAAAUGCGUAGAUAUCAGGAAGAACAUCGGUGGCGAAGGCAGAUCUCUGGGCCGUAACUGACGCUGAGGAGCGAAAGCAUGGGGAGCGAACAGG